UGAGGAAUAUUGGUCAAUGGGCGCAAGCCUGAACCAGCCAUCCCGCGUGCAGGAAGACGGCGCUAUGCGUUGUAAACUGCUUUUCCAGGGAGAGAAACUUGCGCACGUGUUGCGCAAUUGACGGUACCCUGGGAAUAAGCAUCGGCUAACUCCGUGCCAGCAGCCGCGGUAAUACGGAGGAUGCGAGCGUUAUCCGGAUUCAUUGGGUUUAAAGGGUGCGUAGGCGGACUAUUAAGUCAGUGGUGAAAUCCUGCAGCUUAACUGCAGAACUGCCAUUGAUACUGAUAGCCUUGAGUUUGGUUAAGGUAGGCGGAAUGUGUAAUGUAGCGGUGAAAUGCUUAGAUAUUACACAGAACACCAAUUGCGUAGGCAGCUUACUGAGCCGACACUGACGCUGAGGCACGAAAGCGUGGG
This 414-nucleotide ribosomal RNA is filed under the name uncultured bacterium. Its description in RNAcentral is "bacterial SSU rRNA". It matches the Rfam family "Bacterial small subunit ribosomal RNA", at positions 355 to 765 of the family's 1533-position model. The record is from RNAcentral.